This 55-nucleotide transfer RNA is filed under the name Rhipicephalus decoloratus. Its description in RNAcentral is "tRNA-Tyr". Lineage: Eukaryota; Metazoa; Arthropoda; Arachnida; Ixodida; Ixodidae. The record is from RNAcentral.
GGCUGAAAUUUAGGCAAUAAAUUGUAAAUUUAUUUAUGAAAAGAAUAUUCUUUUA